UAUUAUUAGUUCAGCCUUUAUUAAAAUAUUUUACAGGAUUAUUUUAUGAUAUAAUUGAUAGAACAUAACAUGACUUCUUAGGGGGAAAAUUAGGGUAAAUGGUGUUUUUUUAAAACAAACAAACAAACAAACACUGAUUUACUUUUGUUAAAGGAUUAUGCCUCAAGAGGCACAUGGGAAGAGACCUGGCUGUUAUUUUAGUUGCUCACCAGGAAGAUGUCUCCAAGUCAAAUACCAGUGGGUGUUCAGCUUUCCUUGUAUAAUCAGGCUCUUUUUAUUAGCUCCACACCAAAGAGGUCUGCUCACCCCAUCUAUCCAUCAUCUCUUACAACACCGAGCAUUUCCUAUGUGCAUAACCCUGAGCUCAAUGUUGAAAUCCAGCAUUGAAGAUGGCCAGUGAUUCCUGCCAUCCUGUUCUAGGAGAUGAGACAGACAUUAAAUGACUGAUAACCUCAUUAAGUAUAGGGCCUCCUGGAAAGUCACUGAAGUGAAAACUCAUUUGCAGUUCUGUGAAGCACUCCUAAGAACCAGGAAUGGAAGUUUUGUCCCAGAGAUGCCAACCAUCAACACUAUGUAUAAGAGGAGGAAGAUGCUGGAAUCGUUGCCACCCAGGCUGAUUUGAAAAUCACAUUUCAGAACGAAAACAAAUGACCCCUUUUGACCCCUGGGAAAGUAUGCUUGUGACUUCAGCUGCCUACUUCAGAAUUUGCACAGUAAGCCAUAUCUUUACAACUGGUGAAGAUUUGCUGAGAAAAUCUGGGAUGAAUGCAAAUCCCCAUCAAGCCUCCGUAAGGCCCUAGAGGUGACAUUCCAUACUGGAGGCUGUCAGCACUAUCAGUGGACACUGGAAGCUGCCUGUACCACCGCUACAGGACACCAGAUGUUGCCACCAGGGGAGUGAGAUUUCAACUGUUGCUACUGCUUAGUAACAAUGACUCCAGACUAAGAACCCCCCACAGAGCACUUGGUUCACCAAGCUUAUGACUACGAACCACAGCUGCCAGAGCACUAAAGAAACCAUUAACUCAUCAUCUCUACCUCCUUUUCAGCUUCUGUAUUAGAAGAUGGGGCUCCAAAGCUCACGACACAGAGAUUCCACAAAUGAAAGAAGCGUUGAGAUACCAGGAAGAUAUAUUUUGGCAGGUCAAGCGCUCAGACUGGGUAUUCCAGAUGAAGUUAUUAAUUCAGAUCCAGUUGAAGAAGCAAUCAGAUUCACCUAGAGAAUUUUAAGAAGAUAAUGAUAAAAGUGGUACAAAUUGAGAACAAGGUGCUGGAAAAGAAUGUGCAUUCUUUACUUGAUGUAUGUGAGAUACUAUUUCUAAUCAAGUGGGUAAGUACGUUAGUCGAGUUUCCUGUAUACUCCUGUGGAUGCUUUACCUAUAGUCCUGCCCAUGUCUGGUGAUCAGGAUCAGUCACACAUGCCAGGGUGGUGACUCCCUGGGCACAAAGAUCCAUAAGUGACUGAGUGCAUCCACAGCUUAGGGGAUACUUAUUGUGUCCCUUGGGCAGUGUUUCCUGUCCAAGAACCAGGGCUUCUAGAUCUUAGCAAGUCAGUGGCUUGUAUAGAAGCAAAAUUCCCCAAGUGGGCCACUGGCAAAGGUGACAAGAAGGACC
This is a non-coding RNA of Heterocephalus glaber (naked mole-rat), 1614 nucleotides long. Lineage: Eukaryota; Metazoa; Chordata; Mammalia; Rodentia; Bathyergidae. The record is from RefSeq and is a predicted model, not a curated record.